RNAcentral lists this ribosomal RNA (443 nucleotides) under uncultured bacterium. RNAcentral's name for it is "partial 16S ribosomal RNA". It matches the Rfam family "Bacterial small subunit ribosomal RNA", at positions 338 to 795 of the family's 1533-position model. The record is from RNAcentral.
CCUACGGGAGACAGCAGUGAGGAAUAUUGCGCAAUGGGCGCAAGCCUGACGCAGCGAAGCAGCGUGAAGGAUGACGGUCUUCGGAGUGUAAAACUCUUUAAGUGAGGACGAAGAAAGUGACUGUACCCACAGAAUAAGCCUCGGCUAACUACGUGCCAGCAGCCGCGGUAAUACGUAGGAUGCAAGCGUUAUCCGGAAUGACUGGGUGUAAAGGGUGCGUAGGUGGGUUGACAAGUUAGUAGCGUAAUUCCGUGGCUCAACUUCGGAACUACUACUACAACUGUUGGGCUUGAGUGCAGGAGAGGUGAACGGAAUUCCUAGUGUAGCGGUGGAAUGCGUAGAUAUCAGGAAGAACACCAGUGGCGAAAGCGAUUUACUAGACUGUCACUGACACUGAGGCACGAAAGCGUGGGUAGCAAACAGGAUUAGAUACCCCAGUAGUC